GCCUGGGUGGCUCAGUCGGUUAAGCGUCCGACUUCGGCUCGGGUCAUGAUCUCUCAGUUCGUGAGUUCGAGCCCCGCAUCGGGCU
Felis catus (domestic cat) is the source of this 85-nucleotide non-coding RNA. Lineage: Eukaryota; Metazoa; Chordata; Mammalia; Carnivora; Felidae. The record is from Rfam.